UUGCUGAAGUGUAUGUUAGUAGCGAACGGGUGAGUAAUGCAUGAGAAGCUGCCAUUGGGAGGGGGACAACAGUUGGAAACGGCUGCUAAUACCCCGUAUGCCGGAAGGUAAAAGGGAGCGAUCCGCCCGAUGAGGUGCUCAUGUCCUAUCAGCUGGUUGGUGGGGUAACGGCCUACCAAGGCGACGACGGGUAGCCGGCCUGAGAGGGUGAACGGCCACACUGGAACUGAGAUACGGUCCAGACUCCUACGGGAGGCAGCAGUGGGGAAUAUUGGGCAAUGGGGGCAACCCUGACCCAGCGACGCCGCGUGAGGGAAGACGGCCUUCGGGUUGUAAACCUCUUUUGUACGGGAAGAAGGAAGUGACGGUACUGUACGAAUAAGUCCCGGCUAACUACGUGCCAGCAGCCGCGGUAAUACGUAGGGGACGAGCGUUGUCCGGAAUUACUGGGCGUAAAGGGCGCGCAGGCUGUGCUGCAAGUCAGCUGUGAAAUGUCUGGGCUUAACCCGGGCAUGCGGUUGAGACUGCAGUGCUGGAGUGCUGUAAAGGCAAGUGGAAUCCCAGUGUAGCGGUGAAAUGCGUAGAUAUUGGGAAAACCCCGGUGGCGAAGCGACUUGCUGGGCAGCACUGACGCUGAGCGCGAAGCCAGGGGACAACGGGAUU
Molecule: ribosomal RNA, 663 nt
Filed under: uncultured bacterium
Lineage: Bacteria
Description: bacterial SSU rRNA
Rfam family: Bacterial small subunit ribosomal RNA
Source: RNAcentral